Molecule: long non-coding RNA, 225 nt
Filed under: Gossypium raimondii (Peruvian cotton)
Lineage: Eukaryota; Viridiplantae; Streptophyta; Magnoliopsida; Malvales; Malvaceae
Description: long non-coding RNA (GRAI_LNC006812)
Source: RNAcentral
UAUAGAGACUCGGACCGUGGCCACGACCAUAAUCAGGGCUCCCCCUCUCCUUCCUAUAAGGGCUACGACUAGAGCCACGACCAUAAUCGGGGCUACCCCUCUCUCUUCGGAAGGGACUUGGAGAUCGUCUCCUGUCACGACCUCUCUCAGGUGACCUAUCACGACCUCUCUCAGGGCUACAUCCAUUUCGACGAUCAUCAUCAUCUCGUACUGCAUAUUCAACUG